RNAcentral lists this ribosomal RNA (443 nucleotides) under uncultured bacterium. Its description in RNAcentral is "partial 16S ribosomal RNA". It matches the Rfam family "Bacterial small subunit ribosomal RNA", at positions 338 to 795 of the family's 1533-position model. The record is from RNAcentral.
CCUACGGGUGGCAGCAGUGGGGAAUAUUGGACAAUGGGGGGAACCCUGAUCCAGCGACGCCGCGUGAGUGAAGAAGUAUUUCGGUAUGUAAAGCUCUAUCAGCAGGGAAGAAAGAAAUGACGGUACCUGACUAAGAAGCCCCGGCUAACUACGUGCCAGCAGCCGCGGUAAUACGUAGGGGGCAAGCGUUAUCCGGAUUUACUGGGUGUAAAGGGAGCGUAGACGGCGAUGCAAGUCUGAAGUGAAAGGCGGGGGCCCAACCCUCGGACUGCUUUGGAAACUGUAUGGCUGGAGUGCAGGGGAUGUAAGUGGAAUUCCUAGUGUAGCGGUGAAAUGCGUAGAUAUUAGGAGGAACACCAGUGGCGAAGGCGGCUUACUGGACUGUAACUGACGUUGAGGCUCGAAAGCGUGGGGAGCAAACAGGAUUAGAUACCCUUGUAGUC